UAGUCCACGCCGUAAACGAUGGAUACUAGCUGUUCGGAUUUCGAUCUGAGUGGCCAAGCGAAAGUGAUAAGUAUCCCACCUGGGGAGUACGUUCGCAAGAAUGAAACUCAAAGGAAUUGACGGGGGCCCGCACAAGCGGUGGAGCAUGUGGUUUAAUUCGAUGAUACGCGAGGAACCUUACCAGGGCUUAAAUGGGAAUUGACAGGUUUAGAGAUAGACUUUUCUUCAGACAAUUUUCAAGGUGCUGCAUGGUUGUCGUCAGCUCGUGCCGUGAGGUGUCAGGUUAAGUCCUAUAACGAGCGCAACCCCUGUUGUUAGUUGCCAUCACGUAAAGGUGGGGACUCUAGCAAGACUGCCGGUGCAAACCGUGAGGAAGGUGGGGAUGACGUCAAAUCAUCACGGGCCCUUACGUCCUGGGGCUACACACGUGCUACAAUAGUUUUUCAAAAAGUAAGCAAAAAAUGU
This 465-nucleotide ribosomal RNA is filed under the name uncultured bacterium. Its description in RNAcentral is "bacterial SSU rRNA". It matches the Rfam family "Bacterial small subunit ribosomal RNA", at positions 791 to 1258 of the family's 1533-position model. The record is from RNAcentral.